This is a long non-coding RNA of Mesocricetus auratus (golden hamster), 424 nucleotides long. RefSeq lists it as uncharacterized. The record is from RefSeq and is a predicted model, not a curated record. Lineage: Eukaryota; Metazoa; Chordata; Mammalia; Rodentia; Cricetidae. The transcript is spliced from 2 exons.
CACAGGAGAGGAGGAGCAAGUCUAGCGUGCCCCGCCCCGAGCUGCAACCCCUCCUCUGAGUGGCUGGUCCCUCUCUCGCUGUGCACUGAGAUUCUCCAGCGUAGAAGGGUUGGGUUUGGCCCCUGAGAACUACUGUAGCUGCAGAAUGAGGCCUCCGUGGAAGACUGAGGAAAGAGCACCUGAUGAACCGCCGGGGUGUGUGCUCACGUCUACUGUCAGCUUAGUUCUCUGGACCCUGUGGAGAGGAAGCAGAGCCUAUGUAUACUGAAGACCAGCGGAGACAUCCAGCCUCGUGGACUGAACAACUAUUGGAUUCUCGACUUUAUGUUAGAGACAGCCAUUGUUGGACUGGCUGGACCAGAGCCUGUAAGCCACUCUAAUAAAUCAUAUAUAUGCAUGAUAAAUACUAUAACAAUAAACCGUA